ACAAUGCUCUACAAUGAGCAAUACUUGUAGUAACAUGGCUUCAGUUGUGCCAUUUCUGAAAACUUUAAAUUCAAACCAUUCCAUAUUACAAGCCAGUAAAUUAAUAAAUAAUUAUAUAUUUUGCCGAGCGAAGUCAUCGAAGUCUUCAAAGAGCGAACAUGAUGUUAUUAUUGUCGGUGGAGGUAUUGUUGGCAUGGCAACGGCUCGGGAAUUACUCAUGAGACAUCCUGCACUGUCAGUUGCUGUAGUUGAAAAGGAAAAGGGAUUAGCAUCCCACCAGAGUGGUCACAACAGUGGUGUAAUCCAUGCUGGUAUCUACUACACCCCCGGAUCUCUCAGAGCCAAGCUGUGUGUCGAAGGCCUGGAUCUCGCAUACAAGUACUGCGACCAGUUCGGAGUGCCAUACAAAAAGUGUGGAAAGCUAAUAGUUGCAGUAAGGCCACAAGAAAUUGCUCGACUUGACAAGCUGUUUGAAAGAGGUGUUCAGAAUGGUGUCAAAGAUCUUAGAAUUGUUGGAUCAACUGAGAUCAAAGAGAUUGAACCAAACUGUAAAGGCCUAAAAGCAAUCCAUUCUCCACAUACUGGCAUUGUGGACUGGGGUCUGGUGACCAGGAGCUAUGGCAAGACGUUUCAACAGCUUGGUGGCAAAAUCUACACAGACUACCAAGUGACAAGUUUUACUGCAACGAAAGAAAGCAAACCUGGAAGCCAAGAUGGGAUCAACUUCCCUAUAACUAUAUAUGGCAAACUGGAAAAGAAUUCGCCGCUCCGGUGUAAGUAUGUGGUCACGUGUGGUGGUCUGCAGUCUGAUCGACUGGCCCAGUUGUCUGGCUGUGACAGGAACCCGAGGAUUCUUCCAUUCAGGGGAGAGUACCUAGAACUGGUGCCAGAAAAACAUGAUCUCAUCAGAGGAAACAUUUAUCCAGUACCAGAUCCACGCUUCCCGUUCCUGGGUGUCCACUUCACCCCACGUAUAGAUGGCAGGGUCCUGCUGGGUCCUAAUGCUGUUCUAGCCUUCAAGAGAGAGGGCUAUGGAUACACACAGUUCAGUCUGUCUGACAUGAUGGAUGCACUCAGCUAUAGGUAUGAUACAGUUAUACGGCUAUGGAUACACACAGUUCAGUCUGUCUGACAUGAUGGAUGCACUCAGCUAUAGGUAUGAUACAGUUAUACGGCUAUGGAUACACACAGUUCAGUCUGUCUGACAUGAUGGAUGCCCUCAGCUGGAUGCACUCAGCUAUAGGUAUGAUACAGUUAUAUGGCUAUGGAUACACACAGUUCAGUCUGUCUGACAUGGUGGAUGCACUCAGCUAUAGGUAUGAUACAGUUAUAUGGCUAUGGAUACACACAGUUCAGUCUGU
RNAcentral lists this unclassified non-coding RNA (1361 nucleotides) under Gigantopelta aegis. RNAcentral describes it as "l-2-hydroxyglutarate dehydrogenase, mitochondrial- like, transcript variant X1". Lineage: Eukaryota; Metazoa; Mollusca; Gastropoda; Neomphalida; Peltospiridae. The record is from RNAcentral.